This 253-nucleotide ribosomal RNA is filed under the name uncultured bacterium. Its description in RNAcentral is "partial 16S ribosomal RNA". It matches the Rfam family "Bacterial small subunit ribosomal RNA", at positions 524 to 776 of the family's 1533-position model. The record is from RNAcentral.
UACAGGGGGUGCAAGCGUUAAUCGGAAUUACUGGGCGUAAAGCGUGCGUAGACGGUUAUUUAAGUCGGGUGUGAAAGCCCCGGGCUCAACCUGGGAAUUGCAUUCGAGACUGAAUAGCUAGGGUGCGGAAGAGGGAAGCGGAAUUUCCGGUGUAGCGGUGAAAUGCGUAGAUAUCGGAAGGAACACCAGUGGCGAAAGCGGCUUCCUGGUCCAGCACCGACGUUCAGGCACGAAAGCGUGGGGAGCAAACAGG